This 253-nucleotide ribosomal RNA is filed under the name uncultured bacterium. Its description in RNAcentral is "partial 16S ribosomal RNA". It matches the Rfam family "Bacterial small subunit ribosomal RNA", at positions 524 to 776 of the family's 1533-position model. The record is from RNAcentral.
UACGAAGGGGGCUAGCGUUGCUCGGAAUCACUGGGCGUAAAGGGUGCGUAGGCGGGUCUUUAAGUCAGGGGUGAAAUCCUGGAGCUCAACUCCAGAACUGCCUUUGAUACUGAAGAUCUUGAGUUCGGGAGAGGUGAGUGGAACUGCGAGUGUAGAGGUGAAAUUCGUAGAUAUCUGGAGGAAUACCGGUGGCGAAGGCGGCAUCCUGGACCGAUAUUGACACUGAUGAGCGAAAGCCAGGGGAGCAAACGGG